Molecule: ribosomal RNA, 254 nt
Filed under: uncultured bacterium
Lineage: Bacteria
Description: partial 16S ribosomal RNA
Rfam family: Bacterial small subunit ribosomal RNA
Source: RNAcentral
UACGUAGGGGUGCAAGCGUUGUCCGGAAUUAUUGGGCGUAAAGAGCUCGUAGGCGGUCUGUCGCGUCUGGUGUGAAAACUCGGGGCUUAACCCCGGGCCUGCAUCGGGUACGGGCAGACUAGAGUGCGGUAGGGGAGACUGGAAUUCCUGGUGUAGCGGUGAAAUGCGCAGAUAUCAGGAGGAACACCGGUGGCGAAGGCGGUUCUCUGGGCAUGUCCUGACGCUGAGGAGCGAAAGUGUGGGGAGCGAACAGG